RNAcentral lists this ribosomal RNA (268 nucleotides) under uncultured methanogenic archaeon. RNAcentral describes it as "partial 16S ribosomal RNA". It matches the Rfam family "Archaeal small subunit ribosomal RNA", at positions 1029 to 1294 of the family's 1478-position model. The record is from RNAcentral. Lineage: Archaea; Methanobacteriati; Methanobacteriota.
UUAAGUCAGGCAACGAGCGAGACCCACGCCCUUAGUUACCAGCAUGUCCUUUUUUGGAUGAUGGGCACACUAGGGGGACCGCCUGUGAUAAACAGGAGGAAGGAGUGGACGACGGUAGGUCCGUAUGCCCCGAAUCCUCUGGGCAACACGCGGGCUACAAUGGCUAAGACAAUGGGUUCCGACACCGAAAGGUGGAGGUAAUCCUCUAAACUUAGUCGUAGUUCGGAUUGAGGACUGUAACUCGUUCUCAUGAAGCUGGAAUGCGUAG